UUUCUGUAUUCAAGCCUGAAGUUAGACAAAAAGGAUGUUAUUAUAGCAUUCAAAAAUAAUAUUUUCUAUCUUGUCCAAUGUCAUUGGCCUUCUGUGAUGCCAUUUUAGCUUAUUGAACCAGAAGACAUUUGUCUGUUUAAAAUAUUUAAAGUGUGGUUAUUUCAGACAGACAAAAGAGCACUGUUUUAUCUAGAAGUUCCACUGGGAAUUCAUACUGACAGGGACAAGCCAUUAGCCACAGUCAAGAUAUGAAUAUGCUUGGCCUUCUCAUUGAAAAAGAAGGUAGAGGAGAAUAUUUACAUAGACGUACUUCUUUUGUUUCUCAAAAAGAGAAGACUCCUCUCCAUGAAAAAGUGUGGAAUUAGAAUAUGAGGCAGAAUGUUUAAAGUAAUUUGGAAUAGGAUCUUAUGCCUGUAAAAAGUAGGCUUUUUUUCUCAAUUGGCAAUUGUUAUUGUUACUUUUACACUUCCAUACAUUGUUUCUAGAUGUCCUAGAAAUGUUUUGUAUGCCAUAUACUUUGCAUGUUUCAUAACUUAUCACUUGUCAUGUGUUGAAUUGAAAAAGUAGUUGAUCAUACUUCCAGUUCUUUCCUUGUUUAAGCUUUGACAUUGCUUUAAAAUGUGAGAAAUAUCAUCCAGACAGUAUAAUUCAUUCAUGUUUUGGUUUUGACUCCUGAAGAAACAGUUUGUGGAAUUCAUAGAUUCAUGUAGUCCCUUAUAUUUCAACUUUGUCUUUAAAAUUUCUGUCACCUGGAGUUCCUUCCCUGGAUCUUUGCCUCUAACUCUGGCACUAAAACCAUGUCACAUUAAGGAUAACCAACACAUUGAAACAUUUUUAUCUACCAAUUCAGUCAAAAAGCGUUAUCAUAAGAAUUUUGCUGGAUUCUGUGUAGCAGUUGAGCAAACAGAUGGAUUGUUUUUUAUUUGUUCUUUUGGAAUGGAUAAUUCUUUUAAUAAUGCAAGAAGUAUGUUCUAUUUUCAGUUACAUUUUUCUGAGUCAAGAGCUAUUCCAUUGUUUGUGUCAAUGGGAUUUAAUCCAAUGAGAAGACUACAUUAAAUGUAUUUUUAAUUCCUUUGAAUUAAACACCAUACUGUGUUGUUUCAUGUGCUUUCAUGUCUGUCAGAUAUUUUGUAUAAAAAGUAUGGGAGGAAUAAACUGGAACAUAAAUGUAUCCAAUUAGAGUUCUGCUUUGCGGCGUAUUGACCUGAAAGCUAGAUUAUCCAAUGUAAAACAGGAAAUUUUUCCAGAACCUUGCAAGAUGAGGUAAUACUUAGCACUUUUGAGGAGGGAAAAAUGCACAGAUCACCAAAACGUAAAUUAUUAAAUUUAAGCAAUCGCUGCUUAAAUCAAAUUAAGGUUGUAGUUGAUAACAUGAUUGCAGUCUCUCUACCCCCAAAUAUUUUAAAUUACACUAGAAGAGGAAGAUUGUUUGUUUGUUUGUUUGUUUGUUUGUUUGUUUUUCAUUUGCACUAAAGGGAAAAUAUUUUCUCCAGUGAAUGAAGUCUGUGAUUUAGUAACUUUGCCACCACGCAUGGAUUGUUCUGGGUAUUGUUUUUUUCCAUACAGAUUUCUUGCAUGUUACUUUUUUUGCCAUCCCUAGAAUUCAUUAUAUUUACCUAUUCUUCUGUAUACUUCUAUGCAAAGAUGCUGAGAGUUUUUGACAGUCUUUCUUGACUGAUAUUGAUUUUAUCUGCAGUAUCUGCUAUUCAUUAUGUGACUGACCGAAUGUCUACUAGAGUCUUUGAUGUCUUUGACUGACUUUGAUGGAUCAUGAGCUUUGUAUUGUGAAAUAGGAACAAAUGCACUAAUUCCUCAAUUCCCUGAAGCAUUUAUGUUUUAAAAUUUGAUUGCUCACAACAUUAACAGCAAGAAAUCUUUAUCUGGUAAUUUCUGUUAACUUCUUAUAAGGUUGAUCUCAAAAUUAUAGAUGUAGAAACUUAGGUCCUUCAAGACCUAAGUCCAAGAAUAAGAAUUGGAGAAUUGGAGUUUUUUUCAAUAAAAACUCAUCACUAAUUCAGCAUUAAAUGAAGAACCAUGUAAAAUACUAAGUUUUAUGUUGUCUUUCUGCAUAUUUUUUUUUUUCAAAUAAUCAAAAAGUCAAAUUGGUAGACUGGUAUCUGACAAAAAUGUUGCAAAACUUGUUUUGCACUGCUAUUCCCCAAAUCCCUGUUAUUUGGUGUUAGACGACCAUUCACAUUUUCGGAAAUUAAGUGAAGGCAAAUAGUUCUUUCAAAUUCUUAUGACCUUAGCCAAUAAACACAUUUCAUCACUAUGGUUGCAAAAAACAAAUACCCACUAUUGCACUGUGUUUCACAGGCGCAUAAGAAUUAGUUGACAUGGAAGGAUUUGUUCUCUGAUACUGAGUCAAAACCUGACUUCUUAAGGGAGAAAGAGUGAAAGUAGGGCAAUAUGAUUAGAUGAAAUCCUGGGUAUAAUAUUUUAUUCUUGAUGUGGGUUUAUAUUUGAUCAGUUUUGAUAUAUUCUUUCAAGAAAAAAUGUCUGCUCAGAGCCCUACUUUGAGUAUACAAACAGUGCUUGAGCAAUGACAGAUGAACUGUUUCAUGACAUCUUUUCCAGUUGACUUAAUCAUUACAUUCUUUGUGUAUUUGGCCUGUAGAGGGGAAAAAAAGCAGGUAAAACAAAGUAAAAAGUCCUGAUGUGGAAUCCAUGUGGGGGGCAAUAGAAUUAAAUAUUAAGAAGAGAUGGAACAGGGCAGGAAUUAAUCUAAGUAUUUAAAAAACAUUGCAGUAGAAAUGUCAGUGUUGCAAAGUCAGGAGCUUAAUAAUUAAUAUUUAGGGUCCUUAUGGAAUAUCAGUGGAGCUGCACAUAAGUUAUGAUUCAGAUUUUAAUUACAGAGAAAUACUAGCUUUUCUAAAAAAAAUAUCCCAAAUAAAUUCAGUACACAAAUGCACAGUAUUUGUUUAAAUUCCAUAGUUUAAAGUGGAUCAGAGAUUUGUUUGCUAGCUUUGGCUAAACACAUUUUGAGGAAAGAAGACUGUGUUUCUCCAUAGAUUUUCAGAAUAGUUAUUCCAUAUAAUAGUUUUGGGUGCAGACUUUGCACACACACAGCUAGCCAAGAAUUCCCAGUUUCCAAUGCUUGACUUUCCCACCCAGGAAAGACUUAGAAAAAAAUCUAAUAGGGCAGAAGAGUCUGCACUAAUCUAUUCACACCUGACCACCCUUUUUUAGCCUCUUAUCUUUCUUUUCCCACACUUGUUCCACCAUAAACCAUCUACUUCCCCUUUUCUCCAUCUUCUUUCCUUUAACAUCCUGCAGAGUUCUUGUGCAGUCCCAAAACACUCUUCCCCUGAGUCCCAUGGCAUAUCCCUGGACAGAGGGCCUGUGGCUGUACCUCACCAGUCCUGGAGAGGGCCCAGAUAAAUUGUCUGCUCCUUGGGAGUCUUUAAUCUGGGUUCCAUUGUGCCAUUGUGCCCCUCUGCACUCCUGGGGCUGGUGGGGAUGGGCUGUUAAUGGGUUGAUGACUCCUGUGAUGGGCCUUUGUCUCCCUGGACUCCUUUG
RNAcentral lists this long non-coding RNA (3519 nucleotides) under Taeniopygia guttata (zebra finch). RNAcentral's name for it is "lncRNA (ENSTGUG00000018989.1)". Lineage: Eukaryota; Metazoa; Chordata; Aves; Passeriformes; Estrildidae. The record is from RNAcentral.